This 791-nucleotide ribosomal RNA is filed under the name uncultured archaeon. RNAcentral describes it as "bacterial SSU rRNA". It matches the Rfam family "Archaeal small subunit ribosomal RNA", at positions 85 to 876 of the family's 1478-position model. The record is from RNAcentral.
ACGGCUCAGUAACACGUGGACAACCUACCCUUGGGGCCAGUAUAAUCCUGGGAAACUGGGCAUAAUGCUGGAUAGGUCACAAUUGCUGGAAUGCAUUGUGACUCAAAGCUCCGGCGCCCAAGGAUGGGUCUGCGGCCUAUCAGGGUAGUAGUGGGUGUAAUGUACCUACUAGCCUACGACGGGUACGGGUUGUGAGAGCAAGAGCCCGGAGAUGGAUUCUGAGACACGAAUCCAGGCCCUACGGGGUGCAGCAGGCGCGAAAACUUUACAAUGCGGGAAACCGUGAUAAGGGGAUCUCGAGUGCCAGCAUAUAAUGUUGGCUGUCCAGAUGCUUAAAAAGCAUUUGUUAGCAAGGGCCGGGCAAGACCGGUGCCAGCCGCCGCGGUAACACCGGCGGCCCGAGUGGUAACCGUUAUUAUUGGGUCUAAAGGGUCUGUAGCCGGCCAAGUAAGUCCUUUGGGAAAUCUGGUAGCUCAACUAUCAGGCUGCCAGGGGAUACUGCUUGGCUUGGGACCGGGAGAGGUGAGAGGUACCUCAGGGGUAGGGGUGAAAUCUUGUGAUCCUUGAGGGACCACCAGUGGCGAAGGCGUCUCACCAGAACGGGUCCGACGGUAAGGGACGAAAGCUAGGGGCGCGAACCGGAUUAGAUACCCGGGUAGUCCUAGCCGUAAACGAUGCUCGCUAGGUGUCAGUCACGGUGCGACCGUGAUUGGUGCCGUAGGGAAGCCGUGAAGCGAGCCACCUGGGAAGUAUGGCCGCAAGGCUGAAACUUAAAGGAAUUGGCGGGGGAG